GAUGAACGCUGGCGGCGUGCCUAAUACAUGCAAGUCGAGCGAACGGACGAGAAGCUUGCUUCUCUGAUGUUAGCGGCGGACGGGUGAGUAACACGUGGAUAACCUACCUAUAGGACUGGGAUCACUUCGGGAAACCGGAGCUAAUACCGGAUGAUAUUUUGCACCGCAUGGUUCAAAAGUGAAAGACGGUCUUGCUGUCACUUAUAGAUGGAUCCGCGCUGCAUUAGCUAGUUGGUAAGGUAACGGCUUACCAAGGCAACGAUGCAUAGCCGACCUGAGAGGGUGAUCGGCCACACUGGAACUGAGACACGGUCCAGACUACUACGGGAGGCAGCAGUAGGGAAUCUUCCGCAAUGGGCGAAAGCCUGACGGAGCAACGCCGCGUGAGUGAUGAAGGUCUUCGGAUCGUAAAACUCUGUUAUUAGGGAAGAACAUAUGUGUAAGUAACUGUGCACAUCGUGACGGUACCUAAUCAGAAAGCCACGGCUAACUACGUG
This 497-nucleotide ribosomal RNA is filed under the name uncultured bacterium. Its description in RNAcentral is "partial 16S ribosomal RNA". It matches the Rfam family "Bacterial small subunit ribosomal RNA", at positions 28 to 507 of the family's 1533-position model. The record is from RNAcentral.